Fragaria vesca subsp. vesca is the source of this 997-nucleotide RNA transcript. It is a transcript of the gene named 30S ribosomal protein S2, chloroplastic-like, with no coding region annotated. The record is from RefSeq and is a predicted model, not a curated record. The transcript has a single exon. The annotation marks the transcript as partial. Lineage: Eukaryota; Viridiplantae; Streptophyta; Magnoliopsida; Rosales; Rosaceae.
AUUUCUUUGGAAACCAAAAAUAAGAGUUUAUUCGAGGGGGAAAUGAGAGAUAUUUUGGUCCACCACAGAGAAUUAUUUGAUUUUUGCAUUUCAAAAAAUUUACAUGAUACAUCAGAACAAUCUUUUUUCGGAUUUAAUGAUUCCUAAGAGGGGCCAUUUAAUUUGGCAAUAGUAAUAAAGAGAAUAUCGAAUGGAAAGAAAUGAACGGUUUGCAUCUGUAUCAACGGCCAAUUUCCGUUAGAAGAGAAGGUUCCAUCGGAACAAUUUUUUAUUUCUAUUUUCAGGGUACUUCAUCUCUUUUUUUUUUCUAAAUAAAGAAAAAAAAAGAGAAGAAAAGAAGUGUGGGGAAAAAUGACAAGAAGAUAUUGGAACAUCAAUUUGGAAGAGAUGAUGGAAGCAGGAGUUCAUUUUGGUCAUGGUACUAGGAAAUGGAAUCCUAGGAUGGCACCUUAUAUCUCUGCAAAGCGAAAAGGUAUUCAUAUUAUAAAUCUUACUAGAACUGCUCGGUUUUUAUCAGAAGCUUGUGAUUUAGUUUUUGAUGCAGCAAGUAGGGGAAAACAAUUCUUAAUUGUACGGUACAAAAAAUAAAGCGGCUGAUUCAGUAGCGCGGGCUGCAAUAAGGGCCCGGUGUCAUUAUGUUAAUAAAAAAUGGCUCGGCGGUAUGUUAACGAAUUGGUAUACUACAGAAACGAGACUUCAUAAGUUCAGGGACUUGAGAACGGAACAAAAGACGGGGAGACUUAACCGUCUUCCGAAAAGGGAUGCGGCUGUGUUGAAGAGACAAUUAUUUCACUUGCAAACAUAUCUGGGCGGAAUAAAAUAUAUGACGGGGUUACCCGAUAUUGUAAUAAUCGUUGAUCAGCAAGAAGAAUAUACGGCUCUUCGAGAAUGUAUCACUUUGGGAAUUCCAACGAUUUGUUUAAUCGAUACAAAUUGUGACCCGGAUCUCGCGGAUAUUUCGAUUCCAGCCAACGAUGACGCUAUAGCUUCAAUCCGA